GCGGAACAGCUGUAAGAGAACAACAAAGCUGACGCGAUAUCUAUAGGGUCGACGAUAAGAAGAAGGACAAAAAGAAGGGGGAAAUACAACAAAACGGGUUAUUAACAUUCGUGUCGACACAGGACUCUGAAAAUCACAGAUUCAAGUGUGUAGCGACACAACUGAGGGGAGGAGAAUGAACCAAAAAAAGAAAAUACCCUUCAAAGUGGAAAGAAGCAGUUCGAAAGAGAAGGUGAAUGGAGGGUAAAUCGUACCUUGGCAGAAAAAAGAUGAUUGAGUUGACUAUGGCAAUUGAUACAGUAUGAUUGCUAGUGAAAUGUUGAUUGUUGUUUACCUGAUCCUACUUUAUAUUUCAUUCUUAAUACAAAAUGAAACCACACUUGGUGUAAAUCUUCUUAGUCCGCAUUCACCAUCACAUGUCAUUUAAAUUAUAUUGUGAAUGUAAUUUUCAUUAAUGCUAUUGAAAUUGUGAAAUUAUUCCAAUGUCUCGAGCACUAUUUACUGUUUUAUGAAAUUGAGCACAUUGAUAUAUAUGAAGUCAACUUUGAAUAAGACCAUAAUUGAAACGGUACAGCCUACCUAGAUGGUGCUGGUGGGCUUAAAUAAUAAAUAAAUGAAUGUCUAUUCAAUUGCA
Coregonus clupeaformis (lake whitefish) is the source of this 634-nucleotide long non-coding RNA. RefSeq lists it as uncharacterized. The record is from RefSeq and is a predicted model, not a curated record. Lineage: Eukaryota; Metazoa; Chordata; Actinopteri; Salmoniformes; Salmonidae. The transcript has 2 exons.